CCCCGUGGGGUGCUAAUACAUGCAAGUCGAACGCGUUGGCCCAAUUGAUUGAUGGUGCUUGCACCUGAUUGAUUUUGGUCGCCAACGAGUGGCGGACGGGUGAGUAACACGUAGGUAACCUGCCCAGAAGCGGGGGACAACAUUUGGAAACAGAUGCUAAUACCGCAUAACAGCGUUGUUCGCAUGAACAACGCUUAAAAGAUGGCUUCUCGCUAUCACUUCUGGAUGGACCUGCGGUGCAUUAGCUUGUUGGUGGGGUAACGGCCUACCAAGGCGAUGAUGCAUAGCCGAGUUGAGAGACUGAUCGGCCACAAUGGGACUGAGACACGGCCCAUACUCCUACGGGAGGCAGCAGUAGGGAAUCUUCCACAAUGGGCGCAAGCCUGAUGGAGCAACACCGCGUGAGUGAAGAAGGGUUUCGGCUCGUAAAGCUCUGUUGUUAAAGAAGAACACGUAUGAGAGUAACUGUUCAUACGUUGACGGUAUUUAACCAGAAAGUCACGGCUAACUACGUGCCAGCAGCCGCGGUAAUACGUAGGUGGCAAGCGUUAUCCGGAUUUAUUGGGCGUAAAGAGAGUGCAGGCGGUUUUCUAAGUCUGAUGUGAAAGCCUUCGGCUUAACCGGAGAAGUGCAUCGGAAACUGGAUAACUUGAGUGCAGAAGAGGGUAGUGGAACUCCAUGUGUAGCGGUGGAAUGCGUAGAUAUAUGGAAGAACACCAGUGGCGAAGGCGGCUACCUGGUCUGCAACUGACGCUGAGACUCGAAAGCAUGGGUAGCGAACAGGAUUAGAUACCCUGGUAGUCCAUGCCGUAAACGAUGAGUGCUAGGUGUUGGAGGGUUUCCGCCCUUCAGUGCCGGAGCUAACGCAUUAAGCACUCCGCCUGGGGAGUACGACCGCAAGGUUGAAACUCAAAGGAAUUGACGGGGGCCCGCACAAGCGGUGGAGCAUGUGGUUUAAUUCGAAGCUACGCGAAGAACCUUACCAGGUCUUGACAUCUUGCGCCAACCCUAGAGAUAGGGCGUUUCCUUCGGGAACGCAAUGACAGGUGGUGCAUGGUCGUCGUCAGCUCGUGUCGUGAGAUGUUGGGUUAAGUCCCGCAACGAGCGCAACCCUUGUUACUAGUUGCCAGCAUUAAGUUGGGCACUCUAGUGAGACUGCCGGUGACAAACCGGAGGAAGGUGGGGACGACGUCAGAUCAUCAUGCCCCUUAUGACCUGGGCUACACACGUGCUACAAUGGACGGUACAACGAGUCGCGAACUCGCGAGGGCAAGCAAAUCUCUUAAAACCGUUCUCAGUUCGGACUGCAGGCUGCAACUCGCCUGCACGAAGUCGGAAUCGCUAGUAAUCGCGGAUCAGCAUGCCGCGGUGAAUACGUUCCCGGGCCUUGUACACACCGCCCGUCACACCAUGAGAGUUUGUAACACCCAAAGUCGGUGGGGUAACCUUUUAGGAGCCAGCCGCGUAAGGUGGACCAG
RNAcentral lists this ribosomal RNA (1478 nucleotides) under Limosilactobacillus fermentum. Its description in RNAcentral is "bacterial SSU rRNA". It matches the Rfam family "Bacterial small subunit ribosomal RNA". Lineage: Bacteria; Bacillati; Bacillota; Bacilli; Lactobacillales; Lactobacillaceae. The record is from RNAcentral.